AUCACUUGGGAAGUUUCUCUCGCUCCCUCCCUCCUGCCCUUUCCCUCUAGUUUCAUUUUAUUUUCCCCACGUAAAUUACCUCGUGGGCACCGCCGCUCCCUCCCGUCUGCCCCCGUCCCCAUCCCAUCCCAUCCCAUCCCCGUCCCGCGGGGGCUGCAGUUCCUGGACCCCCCAGCCCGUCCCACGCCCCCGCCGCCCCCGCCGCCCCCGCGCCAUUGUUCGCCCCUCGUUGCGAACUUCGGCCGCCGGCUGAGCCCGACGCUCCCCGUCCUGCGCUGUGCGGAGGUCACUUACUCUUUUCCCGAAGUUGGGCUCUGCUCUUCCAUCUCUCCUCCGCUCGCCACGAGCUGACGUCUUCUCCCCACGCACCCGGAGCUGCGCAGGGGCUGCACUCCCUUCUCACCAUACCAUGGGAGCUGUAUUUCCUCACCGGGAGCCAUGCAGCGGGUGCAGACCUUCAGGAGAGACCUGAUUCCCCAGGAUAACCCGAGGGAGGAAAAAAAAAAAGACCAGAGUAGAACGAAAGCGGGGACCCGCCUGUCUGUCCAUGGAGUCACGCGUGGGCCCGGUCCCGCAGCACACACAGCGGCUGAGUAAUGGUGAAAUAAAACACCCCGCCCCCCCCCCAAAAAAAGGAGGGGGGGACUGAUGGUCCCCUGGGGAGCCAAAGGGCGGCGGGGAGGGAGCGAUGGCCGUCGGCUGGGCCCCAGGCACCUCUGCGCUGUCCUGGGCUGAAGCAACACGCUGUGACCCGGACAUGCGUGGACGUUUGUGUGGGGAUCGAGUGCGGACCCGAGGCCGUGGCCGGGGCUCGCGGGGUUCGGGCGAGAGGCGUCGUGUGCAGCCCCUGCGGGCAGCGGAGGUCUUCUGAGCCCGGGACAAUGGGACGGCUCCCGGCCCGCCGCACGCCGCAUCUUCCCGCAGCCCGCCUGCCGCGCCUCCCAUCCCAUCCUUCUUUCCUUUUAUUUCUUAUUUUUGUAGCAACUGGGAAGAUGUCGUGCCCUGUGGUUGUGGGUUUGAUCCACGGCUUUAAGCAGGGCGGAGGGCUCUGAGGAGGAGACGUGUGUGCACUGCUGUACGGCCAUCGCUGACAGUGGUCUCUUGUUGGCCAGAGUGCCCUGAUGGAAACACUGCUCACAUUAUCUCGACUUUUCAAAACUGGGGGUAAAGGGAGGGAGGGGAGAUACAGUUUCCCACUGCCCCUUUUGUUAAUUGUUUUCUUUCCUCGCAAUUACAUCUGAAACCCGGCCGGGCCCGUUGCUCGUAGCGUCUUUGUAUUUCUGGUGGGAACCACGUGGGGUGGCAGAAAAGACCCCGAAGUCCCUCCUCGCCCCCGCUCCCACCCGGGCUCCGAGUCCGCCGCCUCCGCCCCGCGGCCCCCGCGGAGUCAGGACCACCGAGGCCGGGAUGAGGCCGGGCCGGGUCCCCGCAGCGGUUUCGGCCCUUCCCACUGCACGCUCCGUGCAUCCAUCUCCCGGCGGCUGCACCUUGCGCCGGGCAUCCCCGUGGUGAAGUCCGAUCAAAAGGGAAAAGGGGAAAAAGCCGUUCUGCUGCAACCAGGCCUGCGGGGUGAGGGAGAAAUGGAGAAGGACAGGGAAGCAGCUCGGUCGAAGCUCUCCGAGUUUCACGGCGUGAAGCCUUUCCCCGGCUCUGUGCGCCGGUGGGAGGGGAGGGGGGUGUAGGUGCCGAAAAAUUUAAGGGACCGUUUAAGACCGGAGCCUGCAGUGAAUGGGGACGGGGCGAGGGGGUGGGGGGAAAGUUGGAAAAUGGAUUCGCUGACAAGGAGGGAUAAUAAAUGAGAGGCGCUUUC
Molecule: long non-coding RNA, 1810 nt
Organism: Gallus gallus (chicken)
Lineage: Eukaryota; Metazoa; Chordata; Aves; Galliformes; Phasianidae
Source: Ensembl